CACGUAGGGGGCGAGCGUUGUCCGGAUUCAUUGGGCGUAAAGCGCGCGCAGGCGGCUUGGCAAGUCGGGUGUGAAAACUCGGGGCUCAACCCCGGGCGUGCAUCCGAUACUGCCAGGCUAGAGUUCGGUAGGGGAGACUGGAAUUCCUGGUGUAGCGGUGAAAUGCGCAGAUAUCAGGAGGAACACCGAUGGCGAAGGCAGGUCUCUGGGCCGAUACUGACGCUGAGGAGCGAAAGCGUGGGGAGCGAACAGG
RNAcentral lists this ribosomal RNA (253 nucleotides) under uncultured bacterium. RNAcentral's name for it is "partial 16S ribosomal RNA". It matches the Rfam family "Bacterial small subunit ribosomal RNA", at positions 524 to 776 of the family's 1533-position model. The record is from RNAcentral.